RNAcentral lists this microRNA precursor (61 nucleotides) under Scyliorhinus torazame (cloudy catshark). RNAcentral describes it as "Sto-Mir-155_pre stem-loop". It matches the Rfam family "mir-155 microRNA precursor family". Lineage: Eukaryota; Metazoa; Chordata; Chondrichthyes; Carcharhiniformes; Scyliorhinidae. The record is from RNAcentral.
UUAAUGCUAAUUGUGAUAGGGGUUUUGAGUUCUGAUGAGCUCCUACAUAUUAGCAUUAGCU